RNAcentral lists this unclassified non-coding RNA (378 nucleotides) under plant metagenome. RNAcentral's name for it is "partial contains 5.8S ribosomal RNA, internal transcribed spacer 2, and large subunit ribosomal RNA". The stretch from base 1 to 105 matches the Rfam family "5.8S ribosomal RNA", at positions 50 to 154 of the family's 154-position model. The record is from RNAcentral.
GAAAUGCGAUAAGUAAUGUGAAUUGCAGAAUUCAGUGAAUCAUCGAAUCUUUGAACGCACCUUGCGCUCCUUGGUAUUCCUUGGAGCAUGCCUGUUUGAGUAUCAUGAAAUCUUCAAAGUAAAUCUUUUGUUAACUCAAUUGGUUUCUACUUUGGUAUUGGAGGUCUUUGCAGCUUCACACCUGCUCCUCUUUGUUCAUUAGCUGGAUCUCAGUGUUAUGCUUGGUUCCACUCGGCGUGAUAAGUUAUCUAUCGCUGAGGACACUGUAAAAGGUGGCCAAGGUAGAUGCAGAUGAACCGCUUCUAAUAGUCCAUUGACUUGGACAAUACUUUUAUGAUCUGAUCUCAAAUCAGGUAGGACUACCCGCUGAACUUAAGC